This 1551-nucleotide ribosomal RNA is filed under the name Staphylococcus aureus. RNAcentral's name for it is "16S ribosomal RNA". It matches the Rfam family "Bacterial small subunit ribosomal RNA". Lineage: Bacteria; Bacillati; Bacillota; Bacilli; Caryophanales; Staphylococcaceae. The record is from RNAcentral.
UUUAUGGAGAGUUUGAUCCUGGCUCAGGAUGAACGCUGGCGGCGUGCCUAAUACAUGCAAGUCGAGCGAACGGACGAGAAGCUUGCUUCUCUGAUGUUAGCGGCGGACGGGUGAGUAACACGUGGAUAACCUACCUAUAAGACUGGGAUAACUUCGGGAAACCGGAGCUAAUACCGGAUAAUAUUUUGAACCGCAUGGUUCAAAAGUGAAAGACGGUCUUGCUGUCACUUAUAGAUGGAUCCGCGCUGCAUUAGCUAGUUGGUAAGGUAACGGCUUACCAAGGCAACGAUGCAUAGCCGACCUGAGAGGGUGAUCGGCCACACUGGAACUGAGACACGGUGGAGACUCCUACGGGAGGCAGCAGUAGGGAAUCUUCCGCAAUGGGCGAAAGCCUGACGGAGCAACGCCGCGUGAGUGAUGAAGGUCUUCGGAUCGUAAAACUCUGUUAUUAGGGAAGAACAUAUGUGUAAGUAACUGUGCACAUCUUGACGGUACCUAAUCAGAAAGCCACGGCUAACUACGUGCCAGCAGCCGCGGUAAUACGUAGGUGGCAAGCGUUAUCCGGAAUUAUUGGGCGUAAAGCGCGCGUAGGCGGUUUUUUAAGUCUGAUGUGAAAGCCCACGGCUCAACCGUGGAGGGUCAUUGGAAACUGGAAAACUUGAGUGCAGAAGAGGAAAGUGGAAUUCCAUGUGUAGCGGUGAAAUGCGCAGAGAUAUGGAGGAACACCAGUGGCGAAGGCGACUUUCUGGUCUGUAACUGACGCUGAUGUGCGAAAGCGUGGGGAUCAAACAGGAUUAGAUACCCUGGUAGUCCACGCCGUAAACGAUGAGUGCUAAGUGUUAGGGGGUUUCCGCCCCUUAGUGCUGCAGCUAACGCAUUAAGCACUCCGCCUGGGGAGUACGACCGCAAGGUUGAAACUCAAAGGAAUUGACGGGGACCGCACAAGCGGUGGAGCAUGUGGUUUAAUUCGAAGCAACGCGAAGAACCUUACCAAAUCUUGACAUCCUUUGACAACUCUAGAGAUAGAGCCUUCCCCUUCGGGGGACAAAGUGACAGGUGGUGCAUGGUUGUCGUCAGCUCGUGUCGUGAGAUGUUGGGUUAAGUCCCGCAACGAGCGCAACCCUUAAGCUUAGUUGCCAUCAUUAAGUUGGGCACUCUAAGUUGACUGCCGGUGACAAACCGGAGGAAGGUGGGGAUGACGUCAAAUCAUCAUGCCCCUUAUGAUUUGGGCUACACACGUGCUACAAUGGACAAUACAAAGGGCAGCGAAACCGUGAGGUCAAGCAAAUCCCAUAAAGUUGUUCUCAGUUCGGAUUGUAGUCUGCAACUCGACUACAUGAAGCUGGAAUCGCUAGUAAUCGUAGAUCAGCAUGCUACGGUGAAUACGUUCCCGGGUCUUGUACACACCGCCCGUCACACCACGAGAGUUUGUAACACCCGAAGCCGGUGGAGUAACCUUUUAGGAGCUAGCCGUCGAAGGUGGGACAAAUGAUUGGGGUGAAGUCGUAACAAGGUAGCCGUAUCGGAAGGUGCGGCUGGAUCACCUCCUUU